CCAUUUUCAGAAAGCAUUAAGCAUCCUGAAAUCUGUACCUUGGAGAGCUUAGCCCAAUUAGGACUAUGUUUAUAAAGCAAUUUGGGCUACACAGAGAUUGAUUUACUCAAAAAGGGAAUUCAAAAGUGCCUUGACACUUGUCUCCCGUGGAUAUGAGCAUCUGUUCUGAAGUGUAACUGUACUCUCAUAACAAUUCCAAGGGUAAUAACUGCAUUUCCUGAAUAGAGCAAAUCCAGGUCCUUCUGUGCGUCCUGUAGGAUUGUCAGCUUUCCCUAAAUACACAAUUAAUUCUGCCAGUAACAGUAGCAGACACUUAUAUGCCCACACAGGGAGUUGUGUUACAUAUGACUUGCCACUGCAUUUAUUUUUCAGUGUUUUAAAUGAGGACAGGGGGAGGUAAAGCAGCUCACUGGACUGAAUGACCCGUCCUGUAUUCCAGGUGCACUUGUGAUGAUUAGUGCCAAAAAACAGGCAGCAGAAGGAGGCCCUUUUAUAGUCAGCUAAUAGAAAGUCCCUGGUCUAAGCAUGAAGAAGACAGUCUAGAUUUGAAAACAAGGAGCUGAGUUUUACUUCCUCUUUUCUUCAACUAAAAUGUGCCGUCUGAACCAAUCUACAAGCUGGGUCAGCCUUUAAGUUGAACAGGGUUUGACUGAGAGCCUGCAGUUAUGUUCAGUUUAGUGAAGAGUUGUACUGGGAGGCAUUAUGUAUUCAGGGUUCUGGUACAGGAUGACUCCACAUGGCAUUUCUGAAAUGCUGAUAGCCACAGGUGGGAAGGUCCCCUGAUUUUCUCCAGGAGCUGCAGGAUACUCAGGCAGAAAUGGACACAGGAAUUGCUACCAGUGAGAAAAAGCUCUGCUCAAAGGAAAAGGUGAAUCUGAAGCACAUUUCCUUUAAGGAUGUCUCGUUAGAUAGAAUAUAUCUUGAAGUGGAGUUACUGAUUUCUAUCCAGAAAUUCAAACAUCAUACACUAGUCUGAAAUGUAUGAAUGACUUUGCUUUGUUUUGUUUUUCAUUGAAUUAAACCCUUGAGCAUUGUUGUUGUUGUUGUUGUGUGUGGAACUUUUUGUUUUGUUGUUGAUGUUUGAGGGGGAUGGAGUUCUUUGGUUGUUUUCUUCUUUUUUACUUUAAGCUAUAUUAGAGGAAAAGAAGGUAUUGAUUGGAUCUGGCAGGUGGUAAAGCAAUUUACCAAGAGUGCAAUCUCUUCCAGUCCGGUCACUUUCAGUUUUUGUAUUAUUAAAGUAUUAAUAAUUUGCUCUGUGACUGGCACUUGGGGAGAGAGAAACAUGGAGUGCAAUGAAAUACUCUACUUUUUGGGAGGCACGUGAAAGAAGAAAAGCGAUUUAGUAAUGCUUUCUCUAUGGCACGUGUAUGAACUUGAGCACCUUGGAUAUGUUCUUUAGAAGUGCUGUAAGCAUCUCUAGAAAAUUACUCCCACUGAAAUCACACAGGAACAGCAUGUAAACCACAUGGACUAGGAGAUAAAAUAUACAAGAAAAAUAAUAGAAAAAACAUCUAAGUAUGCAAGAGGCUUAAUUCAGAAUUAGUUUUUGAAUGGUAACACUGCUGGAAAACAAGGAGGGGGGGGCACAGACUGCUGUCUCUAGAUUUUCAUUACAAGUAGAAAUUGUAGAAAACAGCCUUUUGGAAUUGAUACUAACAGAGAGCAUCUGUGUUAACUGCACUGUUAAAAUCAUACAGACAAAAGUAAUUCUGAAUUAUGAACAUUUGUAACUGCGUGUUUCUAUCUGAGACAGCAGCACUUUGUUGAAACACAGAAACUGAUUUUAGGUGCAUUAACCUGAGUAGCUGAAGCACCGUAGUAAUGACAGCAAGGAAUUUAGUGGGGUGUUUUCAAGUUUACUGAAAUGUUAGUAAAGCCAUGACAAGGAGACAAUCCUAAAAGCAGCAGGAGAUUUUAUGUACAAAGAUCAUUGAAUCAUGAAGAGCAGAAGACAGCAUGACAGUGUUUGGGGAUUUGCUCUAGAGUUUUGGGCUUAAGUCAGAUUGCAGUUGAGACAACUGAAAUGCAAUUUCUCAAGGCCAAAAGCAGCAAGAGAACAGUAAAACUAUGUGUUGCUUCUAACAAAGUUCCCUGAUAUCCCCAAGGAAAAAAUCAUAUUUUCUCAAUAUUUUCUUGACAUGUACUCUGCAGUAAUGCUAUACGAAUAAAACAGUCGCAUAGCAAACGCAGAUUUGCUUAUGGUACACUGGAAGGCAAGAACUGACAAAAUGCAAAUCCCCACAAAGAUAAAUCCCCACAAAGAUUUUUCACUUAACUGUUGACGUGUGUCACUUUCAUUUAUUUUAUAUUCCAUUUAUAUUCUUCGCCCAACCAGUCCUGCUGAGAUGGUGGAUGGACUCAGCUCCUGCUCAGCUGUUGUGAGCAAUCACUCUGGCUGCAGGGGAGAAGUAAGACUCCGUAAGCACCUGCCACAAAAGAAUAGGUGUAAACUUACCACUGAACAAGACAAAACUACUGUGCUACAUGGCUUUGACUACCAUUCACACUGAGCAGAACUCUUCUAAUCUGCAAAUACUGCAAAAUAAAAAGGUAACUUUGCAGUAUUUGUAUGCUUCUUGAAAUGACGCUGCUUCUGGAAUUCCUUGUUUAUCACAUCCCACAGACUGCCAAGCCAAAUCUGCCCUACUUUGAAAUAAAUCAUAAAUUCAAAUUGUUUCAAUCCAGUCCUGAAAACCUCCCCAGGAAUCUAACAGUCCAGGUGGCUGGCUGCGUCAAUAGGAGAGACUUCAAAGAUCUGAAGUUAGAACUGAAUGAGCAGAACAACAGGCGCCAGUUAACCCAGACAGACCCCAUCCUUCCUCCGCCAAAUGACAGUGGAGGGAGGGGGGAUGGGAAAGGCAGCAAGUUGUUGCAAAAGGAUUGUAAUCAUUGGAGACUGCAGAUUUGAUUCUGAAUGGAUCAACGGGCUUUGAUUAAGCAUCAGGAUGCUUUUCCUCUCUCUUGCUCUUUUCUCCAUUUUUCAGUGCAGAAGAAACCCUUGGGUCCAGUACCAAACCCUAAUGAAGACUACCAUCAAUUCAAUAAGCUCAGUAUGACACUUUCUUAAUGACUUUAUGCCCUUCGUCAUAAUGCAGCCACAAAACGAAGUGAUAUUCUGAGUGCAGCAAGAAGAUUAAUUCCAACUCUGCGUGCUAAGAGAAAAAUCCACGGCUCUGUCAUUGUGUAAACAAAAAAUGUAAAUAAAGGAAAAAUUAAGAUGUUU
Molecule: long non-coding RNA, 3223 nt
Filed under: Gallus gallus (chicken)
Lineage: Eukaryota; Metazoa; Chordata; Aves; Galliformes; Phasianidae
Description: lncRNA (ENSGALG00010003667.1)
Source: RNAcentral